Molecule: long non-coding RNA, 338 nt
Organism: Ictidomys tridecemlineatus (thirteen-lined ground squirrel)
Lineage: Eukaryota; Metazoa; Chordata; Mammalia; Rodentia; Sciuridae
Source: RefSeq, a predicted model, not a curated record
AGGAGAGGGCGAGGGAGAAGAAAAACAAAAGAAGAAGGUCCGGCCGGGGACAUUUCCAAGCUCAGAUAAAUUCACGAAGCACUUUUUAACCACAGAACCUCUGGAGCACAGUGAGGAGCACUGUGAGUCUUCAAGAAUUCUCGGCAGACACAACAUCUUUGUUGGUAUGUGGUGCUGAGGAUCGAACCUGGGCCGCACUCAUGCCAGGUACCAUUUUACAGAAUAGAUGUGGGGGACAUUAAAGCCAAUCCAGUUAAGGAAUGAGGGGAGCCGUGGCCCUCUGGGGGUAAGAUACUGCCCUCCCGUGCCCCAGGCUUUGGUGUGACCAUCACUUGAUG